Marmota flaviventris (yellow-bellied marmot) is the source of this 1412-nucleotide long non-coding RNA. RefSeq lists it as uncharacterized. The record is from RefSeq and is a predicted model, not a curated record. NCBI's taxonomy places the organism in Eukaryota, Metazoa, Chordata, Mammalia, Rodentia, Sciuridae.
UGCAAGGCUUCUUCUAGAGACUCUUCAGAUGGGGACACCAGAGCACAGGGCCUCCUAUUUCUCCCAAAUCAUUUCCAGGAUGAUUCCUCUAAAAGCACAAAUCUUCCCCUCUCCAGGAAAAUCCAGCGUAUGGAUGGGCGGGUGUCCUGCAGCCUGGGUGAGUCAGUCUUGAAAAAAAUAGCAGAGACGGGGCUUAAAGAACACACACACAUUUCCCCACAGCUCUGGGGCUGCCAGCGGCUCGGGCUUCUUCUCACCUUCUCUCCUUGGCCUGCCACCAGCCACCUUCUCUCUGCUAUUUCCCUGCAGGUGAAUCCAUCCUAAUCUCCCUUCUUGUGAAGACACUGGCCAUCUUGGAUUAGGGCCCACCCUCAGGUGCUGCCUGAAGUAGUGGGUUCUUUAAAGGUCCUGCCACCAACUGCACUGUCACAUGCUGAGGAACCAGGGUUAGGCCUUCGACAUAUGAAUUGUGGGGGGGACAUCAUUCAGCCCAUAACACUGGAUUUGGGGACUCACAGAGGACUGUUGGCUUCAAGAUGUGCAGGAAAAUGGCUGUGUCUGAGUUUCCAUUUGGAAAUUGAAGGGGUGUCUCAAAAGGCAACGUGUUUGUGACUGAAGUCUUGACAGCUUUGCUGCCCCAGGGCCUCCUGUUCCUGGUCAGGGCCGGCCAUUCCCAGCAGCCCCCCAGCCCGGGUGUCAUUCUCCCUGACUCUUCCUGAACCCCAUCUCCAUCCCCACGAGUUCCCAGCUCCUCCCUGGCCUGGGACACCCCUGCUCUGGCUGUACCACGGCCUCAGCCUCCUCGCUGGUGUCCCUGCAGCCACCCUGGUGGCUCCUGUCCAUUCUCCAAACUGCAACCAGAAAAACACCCAGACGUAAGUGUCCCCCACUCCAGUGGCUUUCCAACCAGCACCCAGAGGAAAAUCCAGCCCGUGUUCCCAGGCCUUGCAGGCUAACAAGGACCGAGCAAGAAACGGCCACCUUAAAAUGCCAUUUAGCCAAAUCCGACUUAUUUUGCAGGAAAAUAUAAAGGUUUAACCCCCUGGAAUGGACGGGAAGGGGCAGGGGAGACAAGUUACCUUAAAGAAGAGUUCCAGGGAGGACUUGGCAGAGCUAGUCCUCGUUAGUAUAGUGGUAAGUAUCCCCGCCUGUCACGCGGGAGACCGGGGUUCGAUUCCCCGACGGGGAGGCUGCAACAUUUUGAUGGUGGAACGACGUCUUUUUCAUCCUGACCUUGGCUAUGCUGGACUUCCGGGGCUGACAUUUCUUGUCUUGCUCCAGCCCCAGCAUCUGACUUCGGAAGAUGCUUAUGAACAUUUUCUCCCCCUAAAACAGUCAGACUCUGUGACCUUAAAACAUCACUGGUGUGCAGCUGCUGCACCCCACAGGCAAUAAACAAACUCUUUACAAGA